This 774-nucleotide ribosomal RNA is filed under the name uncultured Neocallimastigales. RNAcentral's name for it is "partial large subunit ribosomal RNA". It matches the Rfam family "Eukaryotic large subunit ribosomal RNA", at positions 24 to 646 of the family's 3401-position model. Lineage: Eukaryota; Fungi; Neocallimastigomycota; Neocallimastigomycetes; Neocallimastigales. The record is from RNAcentral.
GUAGUCUCGCACAGAUGCAUAUCAAUAAGCGGAGGAAAAGAAACUAACAAGGAUUCCCCUAGUAACGGCGAGUGAAGCGGGAAGAGCUCAAAUUUGAAAUCUUAAAGGGUUUCCCUUUACGAAUUGUAGUUUAAAGAAGUGUUUUCUGUUGAGGUUUUGGUAAAAGUUCUUUGGAAUAGGACAUCAUAGAGGGCGAGAAUCCCGUAUUUGACCUUUACUUUCAACUUUGUGAUACACUUUCAAAGAGUCGGAUUGUUUGGGAAUGCAGUCCAAAAUGGGUGGUAAAUUUCAUCUAAAGCUAAAUAUUGGCGAGAGACCGAUAGCGAACAAGUACCGUGAGGGAAAGAUGAAAAGAACUUUGAAAAGAGAGUUAAACAGUACGUGAAAUUGUCAAAAGGGAAGCGUUUGACACCAGUGUUGUUUUUCUGAAAAUCAAUUAAAGAACUGUUUAUGCUAAGUUGUUUAGACUUUAUCAGCUAACUGUUUAGUUUUGAGCUUUUCUUUAAUGCACUUUUCAGUUAACAAGUCAACAUCAAUUUCUUUUGCUGUAAAAAAGCUUGAGGAAGGUGGCUUGAGAUUCGUCUUAAGUGUUUAUAGCCUCUUGCCUAUGCAGUCGGAGAGAUUGAGGUCUGCAGCGUAGAUCCUUCGGGGCUAAAUGCAUUUGUGCUAAGUUAUAGCAUUUUAUAGACAACUUGUUGACUAUGAUUUGUCUUGUAGCUUACUCGCUUAUGUUAUUUUACCUACGCUUAGGAUGUUGAUCUGUAGUGCGUGCGC